Molecule: long non-coding RNA, 809 nt
Organism: Pseudophryne corroboree (corroboree frog)
Lineage: Eukaryota; Metazoa; Chordata; Amphibia; Anura; Myobatrachidae
Exons: 2
Source: RefSeq, a predicted model, not a curated record
GUCUACGACAGUGCGAGAGAUGAGGCUGAGCUGCAGCUGCCUCAUCUCUAUCUCUCCCUGCAAUUGAAGGAGUCCUGCAACUCUUGCUUAAUGCAUCUCACCACCAUUGAGCAGCAGUUCUGUGGGCAAAAACACCUUACUGAGAUGUGUCAGAGGAGAAUUGGUUGAUGAUGGCAGGAGGGUGACAGUAGCAAUGUGUUACAGCAGUGGUAUACAGAAUGCACAGCACACUGAGCCUGGAAGCAGACAGCAAUAGAUGACCACAGAUGACCACACUGGGUUCCUCUUCUGUCAUCUAACGCCAGAAAACUGAGGAUAAAGUGGGCACAGGAUCACCAGAGGUGAUCAGAUCGGAGAAAUGGUGCCUGAUAUGACCAAUGUAAUUCUGCUGUUACAUGCAAAUAGUAGGGUAGUAGUUGGACAUAAACAACAUGAAUCAAUGGAUCCAGCCUGCCUUAUGUCAAUGAUUCAGAUUGGUGGUGAUGUAAUGGUGGGUUAAUGUUUUCUUGGCAUACAUUUGGCACCUUAGUCCAGUUGAGCAUUGUGUAAAUGCCACAGUCUACCUAUGUUUACUGUCUAUCCAUUUUAUAAUGGCUACAUCCAGCAGGAAAAUGCACAAUAUUCUUCAGCAUCUCAAGAUCAGUCUGGUUCCACGAAGAAGACAAUAAAGUCAGUGUACUCCAAUGCUUGUAUAGUUACCAGAUCAGAUCUAAAUCCAAUAGUAAACUGUUGGGAUUUGGUGUAACGGGAGAUUCAUAGUAUAAAUGUGCUGGUGGCAAAUGUUGACUAAACAAGAUUAUUAACAGUUA